GCACCCGUUUUAUUGCUGUUAGUGGGUUUGAACCGAGCUUAGCCUUGUUCAUUUUUUUUCACAAUAGCCAUGUAAAAAAUUGAACACACCCCACUGAGCACCGCACAGGCAAAGGGCUCAAGAGGCUCUGAAACUCCCCGAAACGCCCUAAAAUUGGCCGCACAGCCCUAUUUUGGGGCAA
This 181-nucleotide small RNA is filed under the name Pseudomonas segetis. RNAcentral describes it as "Pseudomonas sRNA P1". It matches the Rfam family "Pseudomonas sRNA P1". Rfam says of the family: There appears to be two related copies of P1 sRNA in the P.aeruginosa PA01 genome and both copies appear to be located upstream of predicted glutamine synthetase genes. This sRNA appears to be conserved amongst several Pseudomonas species. Lineage: Bacteria; Pseudomonadati; Pseudomonadota; Gammaproteobacteria; Pseudomonadales; Pseudomonadaceae. The record is from RNAcentral.